Molecule: ribosomal RNA, 914 nt
Filed under: uncultured euryarchaeote
Lineage: Archaea; Methanobacteriati; Methanobacteriota
Description: bacterial SSU rRNA
Rfam family: Archaeal small subunit ribosomal RNA
Source: RNAcentral
UUCCGGUUGAUCCUGCCGGAGGCUACCGCUAUUGGAGUUCGAUUAAGCCAUGCGAGUCGCGAGAAUUAGAUUCUCGGCGUACCGCUCAGUAACACGUGGGUAACCUGCCCUAUGCUGGAUAAUAACCUCGGGAAACUGAGAAUAAUGAUCUAUAGUUCACUACGCCUGGAACGGUGAGUGGAUGAAAGCCCCGGCGGCAUAGGAUGGGCCUGCGGCGUAUCAGGUUGUAGGGGGUGUAAUGUACCCUCUAGCCCUCUACGCGUACGGGUGUUGAGAGACAUCGCCCGGAGAUGGAUUCUGAGACACGAAUCCAGACCCUACGGGGUGCAGCAGGCGCGAAAACUUGGCAAUGCGAGAAAUCGUGACCAGGGAACUCCAAGUGCAUGGGGUAAGACCUAUGCUUUUCUAGACUCUAAAAAGGUCUUGGAAUAAGAGGUGGGUAAGGACGGUGCCAGCCGCCGCGGUAAUACCGGCGCCUUAAGUGGUAGUCGCUUUUAUUGGGCCUAAAACGUCCGUAGCCGGUCUGAUACAUUCGUGGGUAAAUCAACCAGCUUAACUGGUUGAAUUCUGCGAGGACGGUCAGACUUGGGACCGGGAGAGGUGUGGGGUACGCUCAGGGUAGGGGUAAAAUCCUGUCAUCCCGAGCGGACCACCUGUUGCGAAGGCGCCACACUAGAACGGAUCCGACGGUCAGGGACGAAGCCUAGGGGCACGAACCGGAUUAGAUACCCGGGUAGUCCUAGGUGUAAACGCUGUGGACUUGAUGUUGGGGGUGCUCCGAGCACUCUCAGUGUCGAAGCGAAGGCGAUAAGUCCACUGCCUGGGAAGUACGGUCGCAAGGCUGAAACUUAAAGGAAUUGGCGGGGGAGCACCGCAACCUGAGGAUUGUGCGGUUUAAUUGGAUUCAACGCCGG